GGGGCUGUAGCUCAGUAGUCCAGCACAUGCCUUGCAUGCAUAAGGCACUGGGUUCAAAUCUCAGCACCA
Molecule: transfer RNA, 69 nt
Filed under: Ictidomys tridecemlineatus (thirteen-lined ground squirrel)
Lineage: Eukaryota; Metazoa; Chordata; Mammalia; Rodentia; Sciuridae
Description: Spermophilus tridecemlineatus (thirteen-lined ground squirrel) tRNA
Rfam family: tRNA
About the family: Transfer RNA (tRNA) molecules are approximately 80 nucleotides in length.
Source: Rfam by way of RNAcentral